Molecule: ribosomal RNA, 253 nt
Filed under: uncultured bacterium
Lineage: Bacteria
Description: partial 16S ribosomal RNA
Rfam family: Bacterial small subunit ribosomal RNA
Source: RNAcentral
UACGUAGGGGGCAAGCGUUGUCCGGAAUCAUUGGGCGUAAAGAGCGUGUAGGCGGCCCGAUAAGUCGGCCGUGAAAGUCCAGGGCUCAACCCUGGAAUGCCGGUGGAAACUGUCGGGCUGGAGUCCGGAAGAGGCGAGUGGAAUUCCUGGUGUAGCGGUGAAAUGCGCAGAUAUCAGGAGGAACACCAAUGGCGAAGGCAGCUCGCUGGGACGGUACUGACGCUGAGACGCGAAAGCGUGGGGAGCAAACAGG